Molecule: long non-coding RNA, 1709 nt
Organism: Cyprinus carpio (common carp)
Lineage: Eukaryota; Metazoa; Chordata; Actinopteri; Cypriniformes; Cyprinidae
Source: Ensembl
GUUCUUAGACCUGGAUGAUGCAGUUAAGACUCAAAUGUGUGCAAUACUAUAGAAAAUGCCUUUAUUAUCAUUACUGAUUGAUAAAGCGGCCACAUUCAGCUCAGACAGAACUGCCAGCGCAAAUGUAAGUAACCUAUCACACACACACACACACACACACACACACACUGAGCUUUGAGGUGAGUGUUAAUCUCUGAGGUGUGUUAGGAAAGCACAGAAGGAAGGAGAUAUCAAGUAAAGCUCAUGUAAAAAUAUUCUAGAGAAAUGAUUUACUAAAAAGCAUCCUAGUAAAAUUUAGAUAAGUAAAAACUCCAUGUGCCAUUCCAGUUUUAGCCCAAUACGAUGGGUUUCAUGAGAAGGAUAACAUGAUAAAGACGUGUUUGAACAUAUAAUCUCUGAGGAAAGAUUCCUCUGGGUUAAAUUCAAAAGAAUCACUUUAUGCACAUCGUUUUUUUUUGUUUUGUUUUUUUUCUCAGCAAAAGCAGGAAUACAUCUCUCACAUAGCUCUCUCAUACCUUAAUACUGAGACAAAGAAACACAUACAAGCUGCUAAAAAUAAACUGGCAUGCAUAGUCAGAAUGUUGACAAUAAAACCAAAAAACACCCCUCAGGAUGUUAACAAUCCCGACACUCGAAAAUAAAAGCAACCCUGUUAAUAAAACGCUUCGUUUCCAGACAAAAUGCUUAACAGGCGUCUCUCAGAGUCGGUUUCAACAUGUUUGAAAUCAAUCAGAAUAUUUAAACCCGUGGAAGCAGACAAUCUGUGUAGAGCUGCGCACCUCCUCAUUGGAGAGGAACUUCACUUUUGGCACAGUGUGUUUCAUUUUUCAUGAAGCUGCACCUCCUUGUUCCCUGCAGGCGUCUCCUCGGUGUUCUUGCUGAAUGUGUGUGUGCUGAACAAAAGCCUUGGUUGUUUACGUCAAGGUAUCUCCUUGCGGUUGGGUGAUGAAGAGCAGGUGGCCUCAUUUGCAGAGAGCACUUCCUCAGAAGCAGCACCUUCACUGCCUCCUCUUCCUCCACGUGGCUGUCGGGCAGGCGAGGGCGAUUGCGUUCCCCUCCCGCGCCGUGCCGCCUGUCCGCCUGUGGGACCUGCUCCGUGGGCUUUUCAUCAGCUGCCAUUUUCACCAGCAUGCAGGAACUCGCAGGACAAGGAUAAUAACCAUUCCUGUUAAUUGUGUUUUGGUGAAGAAACAAGGCCUAUCGUUCUGCAGUCUGAUCUACCCGGCUAUCCCAAUCCAGUCCAAACAGGGAGAAUAAACAGAGAAUCAAAUCGAGAAUCAGUGGAAACUGUGUACAAGACUCUUUGAAGGUGAAGUGCACAGAUUUUAGAUAUUAAAUCAACAUGAUACAUUGUUUGCAGUACAUUAAGCAUCCGUAAUGUGAUGUAUUUUUGAGUGAACCAGAAUUUUCAACAAAAAAUGGUGGGGCUUGAUUUCAUCCAUGAAUUGUGAAUUAGGUAUUUACAACAGCUUUGAAUGGUUCUCAUUUAUUCACAAAUAUGCAUUUCAUAAUACACUUUUAAUUUUACUGUUUUUAUACUUUUAAGUCCAGUGUUCCAUAAUGUAAAAUACUAAAAGAGUACUUUUCAUUUGUAAAAUAUUUGUAGAUUAUUAGUAGAUUAUUUUGAAAUCCAAACUAAUAUUUAAUUCAGUAGAUUAUUUAGAAAUACAGCCUUUUUUGUUGAAUUAAUAAAAAAAAUAAAUGCUGCA